CCUUCCGGGCUGUAUAGGCUCAUUCACGUGGGAACCGAUCCGUUCUUGAUGGACUACUAGUCUGAUCGGGCUUGGACGGUACCACGAGGAGGAAGCACGGCUAAACUCGUGGCCAGCAGCCGCGGGUAAUACGGAGGUGGCAAACGUUGUUCGGAUUCAUUGGGUGUAAAGGGUAUGUAGGUGGCCUAGUAAGUCGGAUGUGAAAUUCCUUUGGCUUAACCAAAGAACUGCAUUCGAAACUGCAUGGCUUGAGUUUUGGAGAGGAGAGUGGAAUUCCCGGUGUAAGAGUGAAAUCUGUAGAUAUUGGGAGGAACACCAGUGGCGAAAGCGACUCUCUGGCCAAAAACUGACACUGAAAUACGAAAGCUAGAGGAGCAAACAGGAUUAGAUACCCUGGUAGUUCUAGCCGUAAACGAUGAACACUAGGUGUGGGGUCCACAGGGCUCUGUGCCGAAGUUAACACAUUAAGUGUUCCACCUGGGGACUACGGCCGCAAGGUUGAAACUCAAAGAAAUUGACGGGGACCCGCACAAGCGGUGGAGCAUGUGGUUUAAUACGACGCUACGCGUGGAACCUUACCAGGGCUUGAAAAGUGCAUGAAAUCCUAGUGAAAGCUAGGACCUCCUUUCCGGGACAUGCACACAGGUGUUGCAUGGCUGUCGUCAGCUCGUGUCGUGAGAUGUUGGGUUAAGUCCCGCAACGAGCGCAACCAUCGUCUUUAGUUGCCAUCAGUUCGGCUGGGCACUCUAGAGAGACUGCCGGCGAUAAGCUGGAGGAAGGUGGAGAUGACGUCAAGUCAGUACGGCCCUUACGUCCUGGGCUACACACGUGCUACAAUGGUCGGUACAGUGGGUUGCAAUACCGCAAGGUGGAGCCAAUCCUAAAAGCCGGCCUCAGUUCGGAUUGAAGGCUGCAACUCGCCUUCAUGAAGCUGGAAUCGCUAGUAACGGCACAUCAGACACGGUGCCGUGAAUACGUUCCCGGGUCUUGUACACACCGCCCGUCAAGUCACCUGAGUUGACUGCACCCGAAGUCACUGUAUCAACCCGCAAGGAGAGAAGGCCGA
RNAcentral lists this ribosomal RNA (1066 nucleotides) under uncultured bacterium. RNAcentral describes it as "bacterial SSU rRNA". It matches the Rfam family "Bacterial small subunit ribosomal RNA", at positions 415 to 1459 of the family's 1533-position model. The record is from RNAcentral.